GGGCCCGCACAAGCGGUGGAGCAUGUGGUUUAAUUCGAUGCAACGCGAAGAACCUUACCAGGGCUUGACAUACUACGAAUUCUCUUGAAAAAGAGAAGUGCCUUCGGGAAUGUAGAUACAGGUGGUGCAUGGCUGUCGUCAGCUCGUGUCGUGAGAUGUUGGGUUAAGUCCCGCAACGAGCGCAACCCUUAUUUUUAGUUACCAAUUCGUUGGGUUUUUUAGAAAGACUGCCGGUGACAAACCGGAGGAAGGUGAGGAUGACGUCAAGUCAGCAUGCCCCUUAUGUCCUGGGCUACACAUGUGCUACAAUGGUUAAGACAAAGAGUCGCGAGCUUGCAAAAGUCAGCUAAUCUCGUAAACCGUGGCUCAGUUCAGAUCGUAGGCUGCAACUCGCCUACGUG
This 401-nucleotide ribosomal RNA is filed under the name uncultured bacterium. Its description in RNAcentral is "bacterial SSU rRNA". It matches the Rfam family "Bacterial small subunit ribosomal RNA", at positions 917 to 1322 of the family's 1533-position model. The record is from RNAcentral.